This 496-nucleotide ribosomal RNA is filed under the name uncultured bacterium. RNAcentral's name for it is "partial 16S ribosomal RNA". It matches the Rfam family "Bacterial small subunit ribosomal RNA", at positions 28 to 507 of the family's 1533-position model. The record is from RNAcentral.
GAUGAACGCUGGCGGCGUGCCUAAUACAUGCAAGUCGAGCGAACAGACGAGGAGCUUGCUCCUCUGACGUAGCGGCGGACGGGUGAGUAACACGUGGAUAACCUACCUAUAAGACUGGGAUAACUUCGGGAAACCGGAGCUAAUACCGGAUAAUAUAUUGAACCGCAUGGUUCAAUAGUGAAAGACGGUUUUGCUGUCACUUAUAGAUGGAUCCGCGCCGCAUUAGCUAGUUGGUAAGGUAACGGCUUACCAAGGCGACGAUGCGUAGCCGACCUGAGAGGGUGAUCGGCCACACUGGAACUGAGACACGGUCCAGACUCCUACGGGAGGAAGCAGUAGGGAAUCUUCCGCAAUGGGCGAAAGCCUGACGGAGCAACGCCGCGUGAGUGAUGAAGGUCUUCGGAUCGUAAAACUCUGUUAUUAGGGAAGAACAAAUGUGUAAGUAACUAUGAACGUCUUGACGGUACCUAAUCAGAAAGCCACGGCUAACUACGUG